RNAcentral lists this long non-coding RNA (937 nucleotides) under Marmota monax (woodchuck). The record is from RNAcentral. Lineage: Eukaryota; Metazoa; Chordata; Mammalia; Rodentia; Sciuridae.
GAAAAACUGCCAAAGGGCAAGGCGAAGCACCAAUUGAGAAGCAGAGGAGGAAAAACAGGGGUAGUGAACUCACCCUUUAAAAAGCCAAGGCAACGGGAAUUUCCCUGAUGAAUACGGAGGAACCCAAAGCAUAUCCUGAGGCUGUGGCUCACUGGACCCAUUUAGUCUUUCUCUGAAGAGCCAUGCCAUGAUCCAUUCUGUACUUUUUUUUUUCCUGAAGGCCAAAAGAAUAAGGGGAAAGUGGCCUUGCAUUCUUUUGAGGCAUUCGUAGAAAAGGGGCUGAUAGAGGAAACCCUCCCCUAGGUCUGAUAUAGGGGCCAUGGAAAAUGGAAAAAACAGAAGGCUAGCUAUGCCACAUUAGCAUUUCCCUGAUGAAUCAGUGAAGUAGUUAUAACUUUCCCCUGACUAGAACAUCAGAGCAAACACCAUCUGGCCCAGGUCCUCAGUGAAUCGCAAUUCUGUGCUGGCAGCCUACAGUGUCUGCUGUGGCAAAAGAGGAAGCACAAGAAAGGUGAGGUCUAGGGCAAUCACCAGAGAUGUGCCCACAGGUCCCACCCAUGGACUUAUAGAGCACUCUAUUUUGACCCCAAGUGGUGUACUGAGGUUCAGUUCUAGCACCCAGAGUUAGUUGAGACCCCACAAGUCAAAGGUUCAGUCCUCUAUAAGAUUCUCUCUACUUUAGAUGCCAGUCAUGAGAGGGGUCCACAGGCGAGCCACGAUCUGUCCAACCAACUCCCAACUCCAGGGGGUUGAACCCCCUUUGGGUUUAAUAGCUCACUAAUGUGAAUCAUAGAAUUCAGGAAAUCAGGGGUUGUAGCUCAGUGGCAGAAGCGCUUGCCUAGCAUGUGCGAGGCACUAGGUUCGAUCCUCGACACUACAUAUAAAUAAACAAAUAAAGGCAUUCUGUCCAUUUACAACUACAAUAAAUAAAUAAAAA